RNAcentral lists this ribosomal RNA (300 nucleotides) under uncultured Bacillus sp. RNAcentral's name for it is "bacterial SSU rRNA". It matches the Rfam family "Bacterial small subunit ribosomal RNA", at positions 496 to 795 of the family's 1533-position model. Lineage: Bacteria; Bacillati; Bacillota; Bacilli; Caryophanales; Bacillaceae. The record is from RNAcentral.
GCUAAACCCGUGCCAGCGGGCGCGGUAAUGCAGGGGGUGGAAGCGUUAGUCGGAAUGACUGGGCGUAAAGAGCAUGUAGGCGGAUUAAUAAGUUUGAAGUGAAAUCCUAUAGCUUAACUAUAGAACUGCUUUGAAAACUGUUAAUCUAGAAUGUGGGAGAGGUAGAUGGAAUUUCUGGUGUAGGGGUAAAAUCCGUAGAGAUCAGAAGGAAUACCGAUUGCGAAGGCGAUCUACUGGAACAUUAUUGACGCUGAGAUGCGAAAGCGUGGGGAGCAAACAGGAUUAGAUACCCGUGUAGUC